This 440-nucleotide ribosomal RNA is filed under the name uncultured bacterium. RNAcentral describes it as "partial 16S ribosomal RNA". It matches the Rfam family "Bacterial small subunit ribosomal RNA", at positions 338 to 795 of the family's 1533-position model. The record is from RNAcentral.
CCUACGGGUGGCAGCAGUGGGGGAUAUUGCACAAUGGGGGGAACCCUGAUGCAGCGACGCCGCGUGAGCGAUGGAGUACUUCGGUAUGUAAAGCUCUGUCAGCAGGGAAGAAAAUGACGGUACCUGACCAAGAAGCCCCGGCUAACUACGUGCCAGCAGCCGCGGUAAUACGUAGGGGGCAAGCGUUAUCCGGAUUGACUGGGUGUAAAGGGGGCGCAGACGGCAAUGCAAGCCAGGAGUGAAAGCCCGGGGCCCAACCCCGGGACUGCUCUGGGAACUGCAUGGCUGGAGUACAGGAGGGGCAGGCGGAAUUCCUGGUGUAGCGGUGAAAUGCGUAGAGAUUAGGAGGAACACCGGUGGCGAAGGCGGCCUGCUGGACUGUGACUGACGUUGAGGCCCGAAGGCGUGGGGAGCAAACAGGAUUAGAUACCCUUGUAGUC